This 433-nucleotide ribosomal RNA is filed under the name uncultured bacterium. Its description in RNAcentral is "partial 16S ribosomal RNA". It matches the Rfam family "Bacterial small subunit ribosomal RNA", at positions 29 to 507 of the family's 1533-position model. The record is from RNAcentral.
AACGAACGCUGGCGGCAUGCCUAACACAUGCAAGUCGAACGAUACCUUCGGGUCUAGUGGCGCACGUGUUCGUAACGCGGGGGAACCUGCCCUUAGGUUCUGAAUAACUCCCCGAAAGGGGUGCUAAUACCGGAUAAUGUCUUCGGACCAAAGAUUUAUCGCCUUGGGAUGGGCCCGCGUUGGAUUAGCUAGUUGGUAGGGUAAAAGCCUACCAAGGCGACGAUCCAUAGCUGGUCUGAGAGGAUGAUCAGCCACAAUGGGACUGAGACACGGCCCAGACUCCUACGGGAGGCAGCAGUGGGGAAUAUUGGACAAUGGGCGAAAGCCUGAUCAAGCAAUGCCGCGUGAGUGAUGAAGGCCUUAGGGUUGUAAAGCUAGUUUACACGGGAUGAUAAUGACAGUACCGGGAGAAUAAGCACCGGCUAACUACGUG